GACGAACGCUGGCGGCGUGCUUAACACAUGCAAGUCGAACGGAAAGGCACUGCUUUUGUGGGGUGAUCGAGUGGCGAACGGGUGAGUAACACGUGAGUAACCUGCCCUUGACUUUGGGAUAACUUAAGGAAACUGGGGCUAAUAUCGGAUCGGAGCCCCUGCUGCAUGGUGGGGGUUGGAAAGUUUCGGCGGUUGGGGAUGGACUCGCGGCUUAUCAGCUUGUUGGUGGGGUAGUGGCUUACCCAGGCUUUGACGGGUAGCCGGCCUGUGAGGGUGACCGGCCACAUUGGGACUGAGAUACGGCCCAGACUCCUACGUGAGGCAGCAGUGGGGAAUAUUGCACAAUGGGCGGAAGCCUGAUGCAGCAACGCCGCGUGCGGGAUGACGGCCUUCGGGUUGUAAACCGCUUUCGCCUGUGACGAAGCGGGAGUGACGGUAAUGGGUAAAGAAGCACCGGCUAACUACGUG
RNAcentral lists this ribosomal RNA (468 nucleotides) under uncultured bacterium. Its description in RNAcentral is "partial 16S ribosomal RNA". It matches the Rfam family "Bacterial small subunit ribosomal RNA", at positions 28 to 507 of the family's 1533-position model. The record is from RNAcentral.